GAUGAACGCUGGCGGCGUGCUUAACACAUGCAAGUCGAACGGAAAGGCUCCUGCUUGCAGGGGUACUCGAGUGGCGAACGGGUGAGUAACACGUGGGUGAUCUGCCCUGCACUUCGGGAUAAGCCUGGGAAACUGGGUCUAAUACCGGAUAGGACGAUGGUUUGGAUGCCAUUGUGGAAAGUUUUUCGGUGUGGGAUGAGCUCGCGGCCUAUCAGCUUGUUGGUGGGGUAAUGGCCUACCAAGGCGUCGACGGGUAGCCGGCCUGAGAGGGUGUACGGCCACAGUGGGACUGAGAUACGGCCCAGACUCCUACGGGAGGCAGCAGUGGGGAAUAUUGCACAAUGGGCGCAAGCCUGAUGCAGCGACGCCGCGUGGGGGAUGACGGCCUUCGGGUUGGAAACUCCUUUCGCUAGGGACGAAGCGUUUUGUGACGGUACCUGGAGAAGAAGCACCGGCUAACUACGUG
This 466-nucleotide ribosomal RNA is filed under the name uncultured bacterium. Its description in RNAcentral is "partial 16S ribosomal RNA". It matches the Rfam family "Bacterial small subunit ribosomal RNA", at positions 28 to 507 of the family's 1533-position model. The record is from RNAcentral.